GUACACAAGCUUAGCUGACAGGCUGAAUGCAGCUGAUGUCGUCCAAUCUCAGAAGCUAAAAACUCCUGGGCCUGGUUGUUACUUGGACAGGAGACAUUCUGGAUGUUGUAAAUG
RNAcentral lists this ribosomal RNA (114 nucleotides) under Crocodylus porosus (Australian saltwater crocodile). Lineage: Eukaryota; Metazoa; Chordata; Crocodylia; Crocodylidae. The record is from RNAcentral.